GAUGAACGCUGGCGGAAUGCUUUACACAUGCAAGUCGAGCGGCAGCGCGGGGCAACCUGGCGGCGAGCGGCGAACGGGUGAGUAAUGCAUCGGAACGUACCCCGUCGUGGGGGAUAACUACCCGAAAGGGUAGCUAAUACCGCAUACGACCUGAGGGUGAAAGCGGGGGACCGAAAGGCCUCGCGCGAUGGGAGCGGCCGAUGCCGGAUUAGCUAGUUGGUAGGGUAAAGGCCUACCAAGGCGACGAUCCGUAGCUGGUCUGAGAGGACGACCAGCCACACUGGAACUGAGACACGGUCCAGACUCCUACGGGAGGCAGCAGUGGGGAAUUUUGGACAAUGGGCGAAAGCCUGAUCCAGCCAUUCCGCGUGAGUGAAGAAGGCCUCGGUUGUAAG
RNAcentral lists this ribosomal RNA (395 nucleotides) under uncultured bacterium. Its description in RNAcentral is "bacterial SSU rRNA". It matches the Rfam family "Bacterial small subunit ribosomal RNA", at positions 28 to 429 of the family's 1533-position model. The record is from RNAcentral.